This 311-nucleotide ribosomal RNA is filed under the name Escherichia coli. RNAcentral describes it as "partial 23S ribosomal RNA". It matches the Rfam family "Bacterial large subunit ribosomal RNA", at positions 2632 to 2925 of the family's 2925-position model. Lineage: Bacteria; Pseudomonadati; Pseudomonadota; Gammaproteobacteria; Enterobacterales; Enterobacteriaceae. The record is from RNAcentral.
CGGUCCCUAUCUGCCGUGGGCGCUGGAGAACUGAGGGGGGCUGCUCCUAGUACGAGAGGACCGGAGUGGACGCAUCACUGGUGUUCGGGUUGUCAUGCCAAUGGCACUGCCCGGUAGCUAAAUGCGGAAGAGAUAAGUGCUGAAAGCAUCUAAGCACGAAACUUGCCCCGAGAUGAGUUCUCCCUGACUCCUUGAGAGUCCUGAAGGAACGUUGAAGACGACGACGUUGAUAGGCCGGGUGUGUAAGCGCAGCGAUGCGUUGAGCUAACCGGUACUAAUGAACCGUGAGGCUUAACCUUACAACGCCGAAG